RNAcentral lists this long non-coding RNA (2409 nucleotides) under Triticum aestivum (bread wheat). RNAcentral's name for it is "long non-coding RNA (TAES_LNC000231)". Lineage: Eukaryota; Viridiplantae; Streptophyta; Magnoliopsida; Poales; Poaceae. The record is from RNAcentral.
CAUCUUGGACGCUGCUGGUAUUCCGUCGCUGUUACGUGUUCGCCGUCACCUGCUCCCAGGUCACCCCGGAAGUCGAGCUCCCCACGCUCGACCUGCCAGGUUUGCAUCCUUAAUUUUCCCCACACCUUUCCAAUCUAUGGAGCCUAGGAUUCGUGGGAAGGCAAGGAUUCUGGAGCUGAUUGUGAUUGUUGCUAUGGAUGGAAUAUGGAUCCAGAUGUACUGUGGCCAAGAACUGCUCUACCGCAGGAGUAGAUUGGAAAGGCUGUUGUUGCUCCUGAACGAUGCGGCUGCUGCUGCCACUACCUCUCAUCGAUUCGGGCAUGGCAAAGACCACUCAGUUGCACUACUCCAUGUGUAGCUCACUAAACUUGGAUGUGAGCAUUUUGAUGCCUCUGAAUUCAGUAAAUUCGGUACUCACCGGAGUACACUUUCAGUCAAGAGUACUUUCAAUACCGUAGGAGUACUUGUAUUGUUUCUUAGAAUAUUUGUUUGGAGUAAAUGUUGUAGUUUAACUUAAAUCAACAAAUCUAAAAAUCAUGUUUAUCAAUGGAUUGUAUGUACUGAAAUAAAUAUCUCUGAAAUCAUGUUUAUCGUGCUGUAGUAUUCUUUUUGUUAGGAUUUAGUACUCUUGCUUGGCUCAAACCAAACUGAUUCUGCUGUAGUAUUCUUUUUAUCAUGCCAGAGUACUUUGAUUGAUCUACUGGGCUCAAACCAAACUGAUUUUUAGAGUAUACUCCACGGUACUCCAUUUCAGAGCACAUUCUUGGAGUGGAUCUGCAUUUCAAAAAGUUUACAAGUGGGAGUACAUGGAGUACUACAGUUCAAAUCGAGGAGAAGAUGGUGCAUGCUCCGUGAUGAUGCCGCCGUCACCUACGACUUCCUCGACCACCACCACCACCACCACGACUUCCUCGAACAUGGUGAGUACUGAGUACUCCUCCAAUGCUUGUACUCCUAUCAAUGUUUACUGCUGUAAUCAUGGGGUACUUAGCUGCUGUAAUCAUGGCCGGAGUAAUGCAACAUUAGUUGGUAAGAAACAAUGUCAGUAUGAAACCUCUCUACGGUAACUAUUUUUUCUGUCAGGAACAGUACAAGGUUUCAGCUUUAUUUGCCCCAUUCCAUGUUUUGAAAUCAUUACCAAAUCGUAUGAAGCAUGGUAACAAUGUUCAAGCUGAUUCGGUGAAUCUGUAGGCUAAACUCUAUAUCUUACACCUCAAUGUGUGUUCCCCAAAUAUUCAGCAUUGCAAACAAACAAAUAAAAUAAAAGAUUCACUAUGGAUGAUAGUGUAAAACAAUAUAUCAUAUUUUUUUUUCCUGGGAGCAUCAUGGACCAACUUGUCAAUGUAACCUCUAUUGUAUACUACAUCUACACCCCUGUCAAUGAACAUGUGCACUAUUGAACUACCUAUGCAUCUACAUCUCUAUGAAGAUACAUAUACAACAGCAUCUUGGAUGAAUACUAUUUAUAAGGGGUCUACUUCAGUAUACACACCUUAAGUGAGUCAAUGGUGGUGAUUAAAACUUCCAUAGAACCAAGAUAAGCCUUCCAUAGAACCAAGAUAGCAUUAUCUCUCAGAUUAUCUCUUUGGCCAUUUUCUCUCUUUAGGAGAAGCACACAAAGCAGAUUUUACAAUUCAUUUCAGAUUCCACUUACACUCUACUGGGUAACUGGAAUUUGCUACUCCAAUAAGUAACAAACCACUAACUCCAUCUAAAAUUUGCAUAGCCACACUGAGUUAUAUAGAUUCCAAAUUGUAAUUAGCUACCUUGAACAAUCAUCAUUCAUGCAUGCAUAUUAUAUUUUCAAAAUUGACAUUUUCAUUCAUUUGUGGCACAAAUUUCAUGUACCAUGUAUAUAUAUACGUACAGUUCCGCGCAGCCACCAAUUGCCUGCUUGAUGCAAACCUCACGCACCUCCAUCAUCCAUGCCUCUAUUUUAUUCCUCCAUCACCCAUCAUCGCCCGGGCUGGCGUACAAUCUAGAUUUGUAACAAUAGGAAGUGGAGGAAAGGGGAGGUGUGGUUUGAAUGUGGGUGCCAGUAAUGUAUUGCACUUACAUAAUGUAUUCUGCAAGGUUUUUGAGUCGCCGCGAGCCCUGCGGCUCGGCGUAUAGUCGACGAAAGUCGCUAUAUAGUCGCCAUAAGUCGCUGUAUAGUCGCGAGUCGCCCUGAUUUUUGGAAAACGACUUGGCGAUUAGUCGGCGACUAUACAGCGACUAAUCAGCGACUCAAAAACCAUGGUAUUCUGCUUACCCACAUCAGCCAACAAAAAUAAGAAAUUGUAUCACCAGGUGUAGGUAGUAAAUAUUAAAUAGGUAGAAUAUUUUUGACAAGAGAUAUAGAAAACACAAGAAUGUACGGUGAACAAUCAAGAAAAUAUUAAUGGACCUUGUGCUUUAGAGUGGCAUGCU